UUGGAGGGCAAGUCUGGUGCCAGCAGCCGCGGUAAUUCCAGCUCCAAUAGCGUAUAUUAAAGUUGUUGCAGUUAAAAAGCUCGUAGUUGAAUUUUGGAUUCGGCCAAUUGGUCCAUCUUUUAGAUGAGUACUGGUUGUGUUGGGUCUAUCCGCCUGGUGAUACGUAAUGUCCUUUAUUGGGUGUUGCGGGUAGUCAGGACCUUUACCUUGAAAAAAUUAGAGUGUUUAAAGCAGGCUUAUGCCGGAAUACAUUAGCAUGGAAUAAUAGAAUAGGACGAAGUUGUUUUAUUUUGUUGGUUUCUAGGACAACCGUAAUGAUUAAUAGGGAUAGUUGGGGGCAUUAGUAUUCAAUUGUCAGAGGUGAAAUUCUUCGAUUUAUUGAAGACUAACUACUGCGAAAGCAUUUGCCAAGGAUGUUUUCAUUAAUCAAGAACGAAAGUUAGGGGAUCGAAGACGAUCAGAUACCGUCGUAGUCUUAACCAUAAACUAUGCCGACUAGGGAUCGGGCGAUGUUGUUUCCAUGACUCGCUCGGCACCUUAUGGGAAACCAAAGUGUUUGGGUUC
RNAcentral lists this ribosomal RNA (564 nucleotides) under uncultured Glomeromycotina. RNAcentral's name for it is "SSU rRNA". It matches the Rfam family "Eukaryotic small subunit ribosomal RNA", at positions 548 to 1114 of the family's 1831-position model. Lineage: Eukaryota; Fungi; Glomeromycota. The record is from RNAcentral.